Molecule: ribosomal RNA, 495 nt
Filed under: uncultured bacterium
Lineage: Bacteria
Description: partial 16S ribosomal RNA
Rfam family: Bacterial small subunit ribosomal RNA
Source: RNAcentral
GACGAACGCUGGCGGCGUGCCUAAUACAUGCAAGUAGAACGCUGAAGGAGGAGCUUGCUUCUCUGGAUGAGUUGCGAACGGGUGAGUAACGCGUAGGUAACCUGCCUGGUAGCGGGGGAUAACUAUUGGAAACGAUAGCUAAUACCGCAUAAGAGUAGAUGUUGCAUGACAUUUGCUUAAAAGGUGCAAUUGCAUCACUACCAGAUGGACCUGCGUUGUAUUAGCUAGUUGGUGGGGUAACGGCUCACCAAGGCGACGAUACAUAGCCGACCUGAGAGGGGGAUCGGCCACACUGGGACUGAGACACGGCCCAGACUCCUACGGGAGGCAGCAGUAGGGGAUCUUCGGCAAUGGACGGAAGUCUGACCGAGCAACGCCGCGUGAGUGAAGAAGGUUUUCGGAUCGUAAAGCUCUGUUGUAAGAGAAGAACGAGUGUGAGAGUGGAAAGUUCACACUGUGACGGUAUCUUAACAGAAAGGGACGGCUAACUACGUG